CAUCUUCUUUUCUCAAUUUCUUCUUCCUUAUCUCUCUCUUCCACCCGCAUGGCCGCAUCCUCCACCCGCCGGUCCUAUCACCACCAGCUACUCUCCCCUUCACCGUCCGCCAGCCACUCUCGUCUACACGGUGCGUGCCUCUGCCAUGGCCAAUGGAGGAGCUAGGCCAAGACCUCCUCGUCACCGGUAACCGUUCAUGUGCGUCUAGGGGGCUAGCAAUGCGGCGCAGCUCCUACAGCACCUGGAUGCGGCGACCACGGUGGGCGACGCGCUCAUCUUCGCUGGACAUGCUCAGCUUCAGGGUGCCGAGGGUGGCUUUACCGUAGUGGCUCGACCAGAAGAUCAACAUCCGGCUCGUCGAGGAGGCACGGGACACCGGCGUGCGCGCGUGCCGCGACACGUCUGGGGAGUGUUCCAGCACGGCCAACUGCACCCCCAGGACCUAAGACCAUGCCGGUUAGCUUCAGAUCAGUCUGCUUGCCUUCCCUGCCAAAGGAAUUGAAGCGGGAGGAUUCAAAUCAAUGGCGUCAUUGUCUUCUUCUCCGCCUCAGUUGGCGCUCGACAGUGCGUCGAUCUCCUCCGCCAGUGAACGUUGCUCGUUCCCUCGGAGCCAAACAACCUCAAGUUGCCUCUCUCUUUUCCGCGUGUGUCACUGAAGGCAGUCGGUGCAGCAAGGCUGCGCGUGCAGGACGAGAAGAGCAGCGAUCUGGCCAGGACACAACAUGGACACGGGCGUCUGCGUAGCGAGUCUACGCGCAACAGUCGAGCCCGGCGGUAGCUCCAACCAAAAAUGGGCGAGUUCGUGGACUUUGUGUGUGCUACUGCCGGCGAGAAGUGAAAUGCUCAGAAGUUGCUCGACGUAAUGCCCCAAGGUAGUAAGAUGAGAAGAAGAUGAUUGUUCAGUCAUUGACAGGUGGGGCAUGCUUCUCAUCUGCCAUCUCAGUCCGUCAAAGCUUUGUUUGUGUUUGGUAUUCACCACGUCAGCCAGGUGCUUCAGAUCUAUUCAAGAUUCAAUGAGGAUGAUUGCAGCAGGGCGCUAGUCCUUAGGGGCACGUGCACAAAGGCCUGUUGGAUGUCAUCGAUAAGGUCAAACCAGCUCUGGUAGGGGAUCAACUCGUUCUAGUGGUGGUAAUGGCCGGUCUCAACAAUUUAAUGUAGUUUUUAUUGUGUUUGAGAUGUUUCGUACUUUUGAUAAACUUUAAUACGUAAUAGAUCCGGAUCCUUUUCGGAAAAAACAUGGCAUACGUUCCUUUUGUGCCAACUCAACGGGAGAGAGUGGCGUUUGAGAUUUCAA
This is a long non-coding RNA of Hordeum vulgare subsp. vulgare (domesticated barley), 1294 nucleotides long. RefSeq lists it as uncharacterized. The record is from RefSeq and is a predicted model, not a curated record. The transcript has 2 exons. NCBI's taxonomy places the organism in Eukaryota, Viridiplantae, Streptophyta, Magnoliopsida, Poales, Poaceae.